Molecule: transfer RNA, 105 nt
Filed under: Coemansia spiralis
Lineage: Eukaryota; Fungi; Kickxellomycota; Kickxellomycetes; Kickxellales; Kickxellaceae
Also listed under: 2 other names
Rfam family: tRNA
About the family: Transfer RNA (tRNA) molecules are approximately 80 nucleotides in length. Their secondary structure includes four short double-helical elements and three loops (D, anti-codon, and T loops).
Source: Rfam by way of RNAcentral
GUCAGUGUGGCCGAGUGGUUAAGGCGACAGACUCGAAUGGCCAAUCAAAAGGCCACGGUCAUCUGUUGGAGUUUCUCCGCACAGGUUCAAAUCCUGUCGCUGACG